RNAcentral lists this RNase P RNA (393 nucleotides) under Brevundimonas sp. MF30-B. RNAcentral describes it as "RNase P RNA component class A". It matches the Rfam family "Bacterial RNase P class A". From Rfam's summary of the family: Ribonuclease P (RNase P) is a ubiquitous endoribonuclease, found in archaea, bacteria and eukarya as well as chloroplasts and mitochondria. Its best characterised activity is the generation of mature 5'-ends of tRNAs by cleaving the 5'-leader elements of precursor-tRNAs. Cellular RNase Ps are ribonucleoproteins. The record is from RNAcentral. Lineage: Bacteria; Pseudomonadati; Pseudomonadota; Alphaproteobacteria; Caulobacterales; Caulobacteraceae. RNAcentral also lists the same sequence under 1 other name.
UCAGACGGCCGGGCGGUCGCGGCGGGGACUUGUCCCCGUCGAGGAAAGUCCGGGCUCCACGGUGAAAAGGCGGCGGAUAACUUCCGCCCGGGGCGACCCGAGGGAUAGCGCCACAGAAAGCAAACCGCCGCCCGUUCGCGGGCGGCAAGGGUGAAAGGGUGGGGUAAGAGCCCACCGCGGCCUCGGCAACGCGGCCGGCAUGGCAAGCCCCGCCUGGAGCAAGACCGAAUAGGGGCGUCGCGCGAAGUUCGCUUCGCAGGGCUCACCGCCCGAGGCGCCCGGGUAGGUCGCGAGAACCGGUCAGCGAUGGCCGGUCCAGAGGAAUGAUCGUCGCCGUCCUAAGACUUCGGUUUUGGGGCGGAACAGAACCCGGCUUACAGGCCGUCUGACGCC